AGGGUUUGAUCAUGGCUCAGGAUGAACGCUAGCGGCAGGCUUAACACAUGCAAGUCGAGGGGUAGAUUUUCUUCGGAGAAUUGAGACCGGCGCACGGGUGCGUAACGCGUAUGCAACUUACCUUAUACUGGGGGAUAGCCCGGAGAAAUUCGGAUUAAUACCGCAUAUGCUCACAGUUUCGCAUGGAACAGUGAGGAAAGAUUUAUCGGUAUAAGAUAGGCAUGCGUCCUAUUAGCUUGUUGGUGAGGUAACGGCUCACCAAGGCGAUGAUAGGUAGGGGGCCUGAGAGGGUGGUCCCCCACACUGGUACUGAGACACGGACCAGACUCCUACGGGAGGCAGCAGUGAGGAAUAUUGGGCAAUGGAGGCAACUCUGACCCAGCUAUGCCGCGUGAAGGGAUGAAGGUCCUCUGGAUUGUAAACUUCUUUUGUAUGGGGAUAAACUUUUCUACGUGUAGAAAACUGAAGGUACCAUACGAAUAAGGAUCGGCUAACUCCGUGCCAGCAGCCGCGGUAAUACGGAGGAUCCAAGCGUUAUCCGGAUUUCUUGGGUUUAAAGGGUCC
This 564-nucleotide ribosomal RNA is filed under the name uncultured Flavobacteriia bacterium. RNAcentral's name for it is "bacterial SSU rRNA". It matches the Rfam family "Bacterial small subunit ribosomal RNA", at positions 8 to 570 of the family's 1533-position model. The record is from RNAcentral. Lineage: Bacteria; Pseudomonadati; Bacteroidota; Flavobacteriia.